UCCCUGGUGGCUCAGAUGGUAGAGAGUCCACCUGCAAUGUAGGAGAUCCAGGUUCGAUCCCUGGGUUGGGAA
Molecule: transfer RNA, 72 nt
Filed under: Bos taurus (domestic cattle)
Lineage: Eukaryota; Metazoa; Chordata; Mammalia; Artiodactyla; Bovidae
Also listed under: 3 other names
Rfam family: tRNA
About the family: Transfer RNA (tRNA) molecules are approximately 80 nucleotides in length.
Source: Rfam by way of RNAcentral